This 455-nucleotide ribosomal RNA is filed under the name uncultured bacterium. RNAcentral describes it as "bacterial SSU rRNA". It matches the Rfam family "Bacterial small subunit ribosomal RNA", at positions 1 to 507 of the family's 1533-position model. The record is from RNAcentral.
AGUAGUUUGAUCCUGGCUCAGAACGAACGCUGGCGGCAGGGCCUCAAACAUGCAAGUCUAGGGGGUGUAGCAAUACAUCACCGGCGGACGGGUGCGUAACGCGUGGGAAUAUACCUAUCGAUUCGGAACAACUGAGGGAAACUUCAGCUAAUACCGAAUACGUCCUAACGGAGAAAGAUUUAUCGUCGAUAGAUUAGCCCGCGUUCGAUUAGCUAGUUGGUGGGGUAACGGCCACCAAGGCGACGAUCGAUAGCUGUUCUGAGAGGAAGAUCAGCCACACUGGGACUGAGACACGGCCCAGACUCCUACGGGAGGCAGCAGUUGGGAAUCUUGGACAAUGGGGAAACCCUGAUCCAGCCAUGCCGCGUGAGUGAUGAAGGCCUUCGGGUUGUAAAACUCUUUCGCGCACGACGAUAAUGACGGUAGUGCGAGAAGAAGCUCCGGCUAACUUCGUG